This 253-nucleotide ribosomal RNA is filed under the name uncultured bacterium. RNAcentral describes it as "partial 16S ribosomal RNA". It matches the Rfam family "Bacterial small subunit ribosomal RNA", at positions 524 to 776 of the family's 1533-position model. The record is from RNAcentral.
UACGGAGGGUGCAAGCGUUAUCCGGAUUUAUUGGGUUUAAAGGGUCCGUAGGCGGACCUGUAAGUCAGUGGUGAAAUCUCAUAGCUUAACUAUGAAACUGCCAUUGAUACUGCAGGUCUUGAGUGAAUUUGAGGUAGCUGGAAUAAGUAGUGUAGCGGUGAAAUGCAUAGAUAUUACUUAGAACACCAAUUGCGAAGGCAGGUUACCAAGAUUCAACUGACGCUGAGGGACGAAAGCGUGGGGAGCGAACAGG